This 634-nucleotide ribosomal RNA is filed under the name uncultured Marinobacter sp. RNAcentral's name for it is "bacterial SSU rRNA". It matches the Rfam family "Bacterial small subunit ribosomal RNA", at positions 870 to 1504 of the family's 1533-position model. Lineage: Bacteria; Pseudomonadati; Pseudomonadota; Gammaproteobacteria; Pseudomonadales; Marinobacteraceae. The record is from RNAcentral.
CGCCUGGGGAGUGCGGCCGCAAGGUUAAAACUCAAAUGAAUUGACGGGGGCCCGCACAAGCGGUGGAGCAUGUGGUUUAAUUCGACGCAACGCGAAGAACCUUACCUGGCCUUGACAUGCAGAGAACUUUCCAGAGAUGGAUUGGUGCCUUCGGGAACUCUGACACAGGUGCUGCAUGGCCGUCGUCAGCUCGUGUCGUGAGAUGUUGGGUUAAGUCCCGUAACGAGCGCAACCCCUAUCCCUAGUUGCUAGCAGUUCGGCUGAGAACUCUAGGGAGACUGCCGGUGACAAACCGGAGGAAGGUGGGGAUGACGUCAGGUCAUCAUGGCCCUUACGGCCAGGGCUACACACGUGCUACAAUGGCGCGCACAGAGGGCUGCAAACCCGCGAGGGGGAGCCAAUCUCACAAAACGCAUCGUAGUCCGGAUCGCAGUCUGCAACUCGACUGCGUGAAGUCGGAAUCGCUAGUAAUCGUGAAUCAGAAUGUCACGGUGAAUACGUUCCCGGGCCUUGUACACACCGCCCGUCACACCAUGGGAGUGGAUUGCACCAGAAGUGGUUAGUCUAACCUUCGGGAGGACGAUCACCACGGUGUGGUUCAUGACUGGGGUGAAGUCGUAACAAGGUAACCGUA